GAUGAACGCUGGCGGCGUGCCUAAUACAUGCAAGUCGAGCGAACAGACGAGGAGCUUGCUCCUCUGACGUUAGCGGCGGACGGGUGAGUAACACGUGGAUAACCUACCUAUAAGACUGGGAUAACUUCGGGAAACCGGAGCUAAUACCGGAUAAUAUAUUGAACCGCAUGGUUCAAUAGUGAAAGACGGUUUUGCUGUCACUUAUAGCUGGAUCCGCGCCGCAUUAGCUAGUUGGUAAGGUAACGGCUUACCAAGGCAACGAUGCGUAGCCGACCUGAGAGGGUGAUCGGCCACACUGGAACUGAGACACGGUCCAGACUCCUACGGGAGGCAGCAGUAGGGAAUCUUCCGCAGUGGGCGAAAGCCUGACGGAGCAACGCCGCGUGAGUGAUGAAGGUCUUCGGAUCGUAAAACUCUGUUAUUAGGGAAGAACAAAUGUGUAAGUAACUAUGCACGUCUUGACGGUACCUAAUCAGAAAGCCACGGCUAACUACGUG
RNAcentral lists this ribosomal RNA (497 nucleotides) under uncultured bacterium. RNAcentral's name for it is "partial 16S ribosomal RNA". It matches the Rfam family "Bacterial small subunit ribosomal RNA", at positions 28 to 507 of the family's 1533-position model. The record is from RNAcentral.